GCCGGCGUGGCGGAAUAGGCAGACGCACAGGACUUAAAAUCCUGCGAUACAAAUAUCGUACCGGUUCGAUCCCGGUCGCCGGCA
RNAcentral lists this transfer RNA (84 nucleotides) under Leuconostoc mesenteroides subsp. mesenteroides. RNAcentral describes it as "tRNA-Leu". It matches the Rfam family "tRNA". Rfam says of the family: Transfer RNA (tRNA) molecules are approximately 80 nucleotides in length. Their secondary structure includes four short double-helical elements and three loops (D, anti-codon, and T loops). Further hydrogen bonds mediate the characteristic L-shaped molecular structure. tRNAs have two regions of fundamental functional importance: the anti-codon, which is responsible for specific mRNA codon recognition, and the 3' end, to which the tRNAs corresponding amino acid is attached (by aminoacyl-tRNA synthetases). tRNAs cope with the degeneracy of the genetic code in two manners: having more than one tRNA (with a specific anti-codon) for a particular amino acid; and 'wobble' base-pairing, i.e. permitting non-standard base-pairing at the 3rd anti-codon position. The record is from RNAcentral. RNAcentral also lists the same sequence under 1 other name. Lineage: Bacteria; Bacillati; Bacillota; Bacilli; Lactobacillales; Lactobacillaceae.